GAUUAUGGCUCAGGAUGAACGCUAGCUACAGGCUUAACACAUGCAAGUCGAGGGGCAGCAUGACGGUAGCUUGCUACUGUUGAUGGCGACCGGCGCACGGGUGAGUAACGCGUAUCCAACCUUCCCACAAAUAAGGAAUAGCCCGGUGAAAAUCGAAUUAAUACCUUAUGUGGUCAUAAGAGGACAUCUGAUUAUGAUUAAAGAUUUAUCGUUUGUGGAUGGGGAUGCGUCUGAUUAGGUAGACGGCGGGGUAACGGCCCACCGUGCCGACGAUCAGUAGGGGUUCUGAGAGGAAGGUCCCCCACAUUGGAACUGAGACACGGUCCAAACUCCUACGGGAGGCAGCAGUGAGGAAUAUUGGUCAAUGGGCGAGAGCCUGAACCAGCCAAGUAGCGUGCAGGAUGACGGCCCUAUGGGUUGUAAACUGCUUUUAUGCGGGAAUAAAACGAGGGACGUGUCCUUCUUUGCAGGUACCGCAUGAAUAAGGACCGGCUAAUUCCGUGCCAGCCGCCGC
This 514-nucleotide ribosomal RNA is filed under the name uncultured bacterium. RNAcentral describes it as "bacterial SSU rRNA". It matches the Rfam family "Bacterial small subunit ribosomal RNA", at positions 15 to 518 of the family's 1533-position model. The record is from RNAcentral.